This 739-nucleotide ribosomal RNA is filed under the name uncultured bacterium. RNAcentral describes it as "bacterial SSU rRNA". It matches the Rfam family "Bacterial small subunit ribosomal RNA", at positions 81 to 819 of the family's 1533-position model. The record is from RNAcentral.
ACUUCUGAUGGCGACCGGCGCAUGGGUGCGUAACGCGUAUGCAACCUACCUGUAACAGGGGGAUAACACUGAGAAAUCGGUACUAAUACCGCAUAACACUAUGAGAGGCAUCUCUUGUGGUUGAAAGUUUCGGCGGUUACAGAUGGGCAUGCGUUGUAUUAGCUGGUUGGUAAGGUAACGGCUUACCAAGGCGACGAUACAUAGGGGGACUGAGAGGUUAACCCCCCACAUUGGUACUGAGACACGGACCAAACUCCUACGGGAGGCAGCAGUGAGGAAUAUUGGUCAAUGGACGGAAGUCUGAACCAGCCAUGCCGCGUGCAGGAAGACGGCUCUAUGAGUUGUAAACUGCUUUUGUACAAGGGUAAACCUGAAUACGUGUAUUCAGCUGAAAGUACUGUACGAAUAAGGAUCGGCUAACUCCGUGCCAGCAGCCGCGGUAAUACGGAGGAUCCAAGCGUUAUCCGGAUUUAUUGGGUUUAAAGGGUGCGUAGGCGGAUUGAUAAGUUAGAGGUGAAAUGUCCGAGCUUAACUCGGGAACUGCCUCUAAUACUGUUGAUCUAGAGAGUAGAUGCGGUAGGCGGAAUGUAUGGUGUAGCGGUGAAAUGCUUAGAGAUCAUACAGAACACCGAUUGCGAAGGCAGCUUACCAAUCUAUAUCUGACGUUGAGGCACGAAAGCGUGGGGAGCAAACAGGAUUAGAUACCCUGGUAGUCCACGCAGUAAACGAUGAUAGCUCG